This 366-nucleotide long non-coding RNA is filed under the name Brassica napus (rape). RNAcentral's name for it is "long non-coding RNA (BNAP_LNC023864)". The record is from RNAcentral. Lineage: Eukaryota; Viridiplantae; Streptophyta; Magnoliopsida; Brassicales; Brassicaceae.
CUUUAAGUUAUAAAGAUUAAACCUUACACAUAAAGUAAUAAAUUAUAAUUACUAUAAACUUAACUAAUAUUUUACACUCAUACAACUUUUUUAAUUUUCAAUUCUAAUUUAAAAACCUUAACCUCGUACUUCUUUUUUUUUUGAAAAAGGGCAUAACCUCGUACUUUAAAGCUAAACCUCAAAUUGUAAUCCCCAAACUCCAAACCCUAAAUAAUAAAAGAUAACCUUCGACACUUUAAAUCAUUGUAGUUAAAAUCAUAAAUAAUAAACAAAACGUAAUCACUAAUUUUUAACAAAAAAUAUAAUCACUAAUUAUAUACAAAUACUUUAAACAUUUACAUAUAAAACUUAAUAAAUUUUAUUUUU